RNAcentral lists this ribosomal RNA (365 nucleotides) under Salmonella enterica. RNAcentral's name for it is "bacterial SSU rRNA". It matches the Rfam family "Bacterial small subunit ribosomal RNA", at positions 1 to 362 of the family's 1533-position model. The record is from RNAcentral. Lineage: Bacteria; Pseudomonadati; Pseudomonadota; Gammaproteobacteria; Enterobacterales; Enterobacteriaceae.
AAAUUGAAGAGUUUGAUCAUGGCUCAGAUUGAACGCUGGCGGCAGGCCUAACACAUGCAAGUCGAACGGUAACAGGAAGCAGCUUGCUGCUUUGCUGACGAGUGGCGGACGGGUGAGUAAUGUCUGGGAAACUGCCCGAUGGAGGGGGAUAACUACUGGAAACGGUGGCUAAUACCGCAUAACGUCGCAAGACCAAAGAGGGGGACCUUCGGGCCUCUUGCCAUCAGAUGUGCCCAGAUGGGAUUAGCUUGUUGGUGAGGUAACGGCUCACCAAGGCGACGAUCCCUAGCUGGUCUGAGAGGAUGACCAGCCACACUGGAACUGAGACACGGUCCAGACUCCUACGGGAGGCAGCAGUGGGGAAU